Molecule: ribosomal RNA, 244 nt
Filed under: uncultured bacterium
Lineage: Bacteria
Description: partial 16S ribosomal RNA
Rfam family: Bacterial small subunit ribosomal RNA
Source: RNAcentral
GAUCCUGGCUCAGGAUGAACGCUGGCGGCAUGCCUAAGACAUGCAAGUCGAACGAGAUGGCCCAGUGAAGGUUGCGUGCUUGCACAAGACUGAAUCUGGAUCACCAUCUAGUGGCAGACGGGUGAGUAACACGUGGGUGACCUACCUUUUCGUUGGGGAUAACUGUUGGAAACGAUUGCUAAUACCGAAUAAAAUAUAAAAGCCAAUUUUAUAUUGAAAGGAGCCUUUAAAGCUUCGCGAUUAG